Non-coding RNA from Podarcis lilfordi (Lilford's wall lizard), 5891 nucleotides. The record is from the annotation of a GenBank genome assembly. NCBI's taxonomy places the organism in Eukaryota, Metazoa, Chordata, Lepidosauria, Squamata, Lacertidae.
GAUUAAUACAGUUUAUUAAUACAAUUCUAAAAUUACUCAUUCAAAACAAAGUAUAUUUCAGUCAAAUAUAAAAAUGUAAAGAAUUAAUAAAAUCAUAUUAAGGACUAUUUACUUACAGUGGGUUGUUAAUGAAGGCUUCAGAGGGGUGUAUAUUAAAUAAAACAUUGGGGAAGACGUAGCGGAUAUGAGAUGCUAUGCCACCAAUGACAGGGUCACCUGGCUCAUACCACUCAUGUGGAAUAGGUACAGGAUUAGUUGUGGUAAAAUGAGCACUAUGCACUUGGCACACCAUGUUGGGGAAGAGCAAGAGAAGCAGCAGCAGCAAGGUUCUACACAUGGACUCUUCUUGGCCUCUCUACAAUAUCAUUAUUAUCAUCAGCAGCCUGAUUUGACCAGCAUCGAUUUGGAGGCAGCAGACUCUGCCAGUUCAGUGAUUAAAGGGACAUGCAUACAUCAUAUCAUUAAACUCUGUCGCAAAUACCUGCCUUGAAUGGUAAAUAAGAUGAUGUGAUUUGAUAUAUGACCGGUACAAUCACAGAGCCUGGCCUCUCUCUCCUGCAUUAUUCUGUCUAUGGAACACUGGGAGACUAUAAACAUUUCAGACUUGUUUGCUGAUUCUCCCCUACCCGACAUUUUGCCUUCUGGAGCAUUGGCAAGGUGACUUAAUUAUUGUCAUUUUAAUAAUUGCAGGGGAGACAAUCACUUGCAAUUUUUUACAGACUCCAUGGCGCAUCAUCAUUGGUAGAACUGUCAAGUAAAUAUAUUUAUCACCUCAUGGAAUUAUAGGUUAGGAAGAACAUGAUUUUGCUUGUUUUUUGUUGUUUUUUUGUAUGCAACCAUGUAAUGGAGAAGCGAGAAAAUGGAGGGAGGUAGGUACUGCUUCUUGUGCCUUCGUGGGUACCUUGUCAGCAAGGUGUUGAUGGAAGCAACAUGAUAACUUUCUAUUUGUGUGAGCAGCAAGUUCUCACCAAGAACAAUGGCUUCUGGGUACCUAGGUCAAUUAUAUGAAUGUAAUGGGGGAGGGGAACUGGAUAAUUUUGGAGAGGGGAUGUCUUUGCCAUUUCACACUGGGUUCCCUUUGAUCCUUUGACACAUCACCCAGCCUAUCACUUCAUGGGAAAUUAGCUUAUAUUAAUCAGCUGCUGAUUCAGGGGAUUAGAGAUGUCUAGUACAUAGUUUGGCAUCCCAAACCCUAAUUAAAUUCUGACACUUGCUGGGUCCAGAAUUUAUAGUGGUCUGGCAACCACAAGCUCUAUAUAGCUUCAUAAAAAUAAAUAAUAAGUUUCUGUUUUCAUCUCAAAGUUUCAGUUUCUUCAGUUGAAAUUUGGAUCUGCUUUUCAACUGUUUUUCACAUUUGGUCAGAACAGCUUCUUUAAAGAAGAGACAACCAUUUUGCAACCCAGAAAUAAAAGAUUUUUUAUUACAUAAAUUGAUUUACAUAUGUUGAUGUUUUGACUUAGAAUACAAAGAGCAUGUAUGAACCCAGAAAGUCUUCUGUUUAUAUCUUUCUUUGUAUUAGAUGCUACUUGUGGAGGAUUGAAUGACAUAGCCUCUGAUGAUGUUAAAUCAAAGUCAGUUUAGAUUUUAGUGAAGUUGCUUGUCAGUGUGAAGCCCAGAUAUAUCAUUCAGAACUACAAUAGCUUCAGGCAUAGAAUUUCUGGAUCCUGGAUCCUGGGUGCAGCACAGCCUUAUGCCCACAUAGCUGCAGCAAUUGCUCUAGUAAGUGGUUGGAUAGGUACAGGUAAACUCUGCAUCAAUCACUAUCUUCUUGGGAGCAGAGCUGGUCCAGAACACUUUGGUGCCUGAGGUAAGCCACAAAAUGGCAUCUCCAUCCUCUCCAGGGAAGAAGGAAUGAGUGAAUGUCUCCAUCAGGAACAAGUGGGGAAUAAAGAUCAACAUUGGGAUCUGCUGCCCCUGUGGAUCUUGCCACCAGAGAAGGUUGCCUCACCUUUCCUCAUGGGAGGGCCAGCCCUGCUUGGGAAUCAUACAACACACUGUUAUCCUCAAUCCCUUUAUCUUCCCCUUGUAGUGUAGGAACUUAUUACUUUGAGUUUGAAUGCGUGAGGAUAUGCACCCAUGGUUCUAUAUAUUCUGAACUAUGCUAAUCAAUCUAUUGUUAAAAUAUCAUUUAUUCUUUUGUAAUAAACCAACUGUAUGGGGAACAGUCCAGUUUGUGAGAGCUCUUUACUGGGCAUAAGAUAAUUUGGGCCUAUUCUCAGAGCUGUGUCCAUUUGACUCCAGCAAAAUAGCUCACAAGGCAGUGUGUUUUAGUGUCAGCGAAGCUCAGAUACUGACAGGAGGAGAAGAAGCAGGCACAGGGAGAGGACAGUUAACAGCAGAAAGCAGAGAGGAGGGGGAGAGCAGCUGUAAUCUGAGCUCUGACCAAAGGGACAGUCAGAUGUGUGAGAACUCCAAUAGUUGGCAAGACGUUGGAAUGCAGGAAACACUCUCUGCCAAAUCUCAGGAUUUCAAAAGUGGCAGAGACACACAAAAGAUACUGGAAGAGAAGAUGGGGGCUUCCGUGCUGGGGAAGGGGGAGGAGCUCAGUCCGGGCAACUCCAUCUUCUGGGGAGGACAAUGUGUAGAGGAGCGCCAUAUAGUUUGUUGUUUUAGCAAUAAAUCUGAAAUAAUUAACAGCCAGAGUCAUCUCGUGUUUGUGGGAGAAACCAAGCCGUAAUAUUUAGGGGUGAGUUAGUUUGUAGACACAAAUGGGGAUUCCAAUAUACACUUGUCCGACCUCAUGUUCCUAAACUGAUACCAAGAACAUAAGUGAAACUACAAACACAUCUGUCAUUUACAUACAGUGGUACCUCGGGUUACAUACGCUUCAGGUUACAUACGCUUCAGGUUACAGACUCCGCUAACCCAGAAAUAGUACCUCGGGUUAAUAACUUUGCUUCAAGAUGAGAACAGAAAUUGUGCUCCGGUGGUGCGGCAGCAGCAGGAGGCCCCAUAGGCUAAAGUGGUGCUUCAGGUUAAGAACAGUUUCAGGUUAAGAACGGACCUUCGGAACAAAUUAAGUACUUAACCCGAAGUACCACUGUAUUUCUCUAUAUCAGUUGCUCUCUAUUGUUGAAUUAAGGCCUCACUAAUAUAACAUAGGUUUUUUAUUUAGUUUCUUAAAUAAUUAAUAUACCACUUAGUAAAAAACAACUCUAAUACUUAACUUCAUUUACGUUAGCUGUCUAAUCAGAACAACUAUAGAAUAAUGUUGAUGUUUCUCUUUCAAUUUCAGAGUUUCAUUGUCUUCAGUUGAAGUUCAGAAGGUUAUGUGAACAUUUGCCUCAUUUGGUCUGAAUGGCCUCUUAAAAUAACAUGCAACAAUUUUGCAGCCCAGAAACAGAGCACAAAACAGCUGAAAUAUUUUCAUUUGGUCACAUGUCCUCAUUCAUUCACAUUUUUGACAUUUCAGUGUUGAAAAUUAAGAACAAUCAUGGAACUACAAAAUUUUAUAUUAUUUAUAUCUUUCUUUGCAUUAGAUGUUCUCUGGUGUUCAGGUCAGGCCUCACAAGAAUAAUGUAGCAUUUGGGGGAAAAGAUGCAAGCCAGUAAUCCAGCACUAGAAGCCAAGAUGGAGAAGAUCUCCACAGCCACCAUGUGUUUUCCUCUGGUGCUCAGGUAAGUUGGAAUGAAGGAGACCCAAACACUGCAAAAGACCAGCAUGCUGAAGGUGAUGAACUUGGCUUCAUUGAAGCUGUCAGGUAACUUCCUGGCUAGGAAAGCCACAGUGAAGCUGACAGUGGCCAGGAAGCCCAUGUAGCUCAAAACACAGUAGAACAUGUGGACGGACCCUUCAUUACAUAAGAAUAUAAUUUCUUCACUCAUUGAUUUCAUGUCCAAAUCUGGGAAUGGGGGGAAGGUUGCCAGCCAAAGACCACAGAGCCCCACUUGAACAGUGGAGCCAGAGAGGACAAUUGAAUAAGCCAGUUUUUUGCCUACCCACUUUCUGAUUGUGGAUCCUGGCUUAGUAGCCAUGAAUGCCAAAACCACUGAUAUGGUUUUGGCCAAGAUGCUAGACAGGGCCACAGAGAAGACGAUGCCAAAACUUGUUUGUCGGAGUGGGCAGGUUGCCUGCUUAGGUGUUCCAAUGAACAUCAAGGAGCAGAGGAAACACAAGAGGAGGGACACAAGGAGAAUGUAAGUCAGGCUUCUAUUGUUGGCUUUGACAAUUACGGUGUCCUUGUGCUUAAUGAAAAUGCCCAACACUAGAGCUGUGAUCAGAGAAAACAAUAGUGCAGAGGAAGUUGAAAUGAUGGCUAAAGUUUCAUCAAAGCCCAGAAAGUUUGGUAUCUUAGGAAUGCAAUUAUCCUGGUCUUUGUUUGGAUACUUAUUUGCUGGGCAACUGAUACAUGUUUCCAUGUCUGAAAAGACAAAAUGAAAUUACAGACAAUUCUUAAGAAUUUUAGUCCUCAGGAGUCCACCUAGCUAAUGUUCUUUACCGGGGUAGCUUUCAAUCUUCUAACUCAAAGACUUUUGUCUGAGAUAUUUCAAAAAUAGAUCUCAUGCAUCAAAUCUGGAAUUUCUACAUAGAGGAUAUCUCUAUCUUUUAGUGGCCCUCCUCCUCUUUCUUAGAAUGCCCUGUAGUGAAAAGAGAGCAACGUUACAGCUGAAAUCUUGUGAGCCAAGAGAGGUCCACUGAAUGAGACAUUCACUCUCUUCCCAAACUGUCUUCUUCUUCGUGGAGUGACCAUCACCUCUAUUCCAUCAGAAUUUAGUAGAAUUUGGAUGCAAAAUGUAUUACGUUCCUUUCUGAAAAAAUAUUUUCUUCAGGAUUUUUUAAAGAUUAUAUUGUAAACAAUGACAACAAUACAGAAAUCAAUUAUUUAACCCCCACACCACAACAAAAUUUUAAGGACCUCAGAGUUGGCUAAAUAAAUUGUGCAUUUUGGUCUAUCUUAAGAUGACAUUUCUCACCCUUUUCAUUUGAGUACAUCCCGCUGGGACAUGGUUCACAAUCAUAGCAACAAAAUUUACUUCUCUCCUUCUUUUUCUUCCCGUAACCAGGACGGCAUUUGUCAUUACAUACUGACAGGGGUGGCACCUAUCCAAAUAUAUAGGAAUAAUUUUGUUUUUAAAGGUUUUAUGGGAUUUAAUCUAACAUCAGGGGAUCUAUCAGCAAUAGGAGGACCAAUAAUGUGAAACCUAUGAUCCAUAUGGGCACAAGUGGAACAUAAAAUGGGAUAAAAAGCAGCCGUUAAGCAUUAUUAGAUUUGAGUAUAUCUUAGCGGUUUUGCUUCUACUUGCAGAAUUGUUACAUGAAUGUUCUACUAGGAGCAUCUUGCUUAGUUCCAUGGUUUUUGGGCUGUGGUUCCCCAUGAGGUUUCAGGUUCUUUCAUCUUUGUGAUUCAACAUUUAUAUGAAACAGUUAGGGGCUAUCUUCAAGGAAUCUGGAGCACAGUGUUCAUAUGUAUACUGAUGACCUGCAUCUCUGUCUCGGCUUUCCGUAGGAAUUAGGAGAACCAGUGAAGGUGUUGAACUGCUGUCUGAAGGUUGUGUUGGACAGGAUGGUGGCUGAAUCCUUAUAAUUCCAAAGUGCUUUGGGUGAGUGGAUUCUGUCUCUCAAAGGAUUGGGAUCCCUUCUGGGAGGGAUUGGACUCACUGUGAAGGAAGAAGUUUGUAGUCUGGAACUACCUUGAGAUUCCAACUCAUCACUAGGGUCUCAAGUGGCUUCUGUGGCUGGUCUGCUUAUGCCCUUUUAGGUUGAUGCACUAGGUGCAUCUAUGCCUAGAUGUAUACCUGCUGCACCUAGCAUCAUGCAAACUCCAGAAGAUUAUAAUGUUCAUUUUAAGCCCAAGCAAUGCUGUAAGAAGCUUAGCAUUAUAUCAGAUUCCACUAACCGGAGAUCUGCCUCUGGGACGUCACAUAAAAGAAUGUCUGACAACAGUAUCUGAU